AAAAAAAAAAAAAAAAAGAAGCAAUUUUAAGUCUAUUUCUAUAGGGUUAAAUAAAAUAAAAAAUUCGAUUGAUAAUUUGAUAUAAUUGCUAUGCUUAGUGUGUGACUCGUUGGUUUUUUAGAGUCAGGAUUAAAAAAAGGACUGACCCAUACUAUGAACUAAUAAGUAUAAGUAUACAACUAAUAACCAACUCAUCGCUUUACAUUAUCUGGAUCCAAAGAAACAAUCAAGAUAUGAUAUAUUGGUCAUAUCAUUGUAACAAUUGAAAUCCUUUUUACACAAACAAAAGAAAAACCAAUCUGAUUAUGAGUUGUAAAUCAAAAUAAAAAAUUAUGCAGAUAAGUGGAAGGGUGAAAGAAAGAAAAAGAAUAUCAAAGAAUAUCAAUGAUAUAUGAUUCCAAUAUGUAAGGUCUAUGAGUCAUCAUAUAAAAGCUAAUGUAGUAAAGCAUCAAUACCAAUUGAUCUAUAAUUAAACUAAUCCGUUCAUAAAACAAAAAAUCAAGAGCCUCGAGCCAAUAAAGACUGAGAAGAUUGACUCAAGAACAAAAAGGCUCCAUUGUAAAAUUAAGACCUAACCAUUAAUGGAGAAGCGAUGGGAACGACGGAACCUGUAAAUACAUAAGAUUUUUUUGAAAACAAGUCUUAAUGAUUUAUUGGGAGGAUAGCGAAAAGAACCAUAAGACAAUCCAUUUAUUCUGAAAGAUCAUGGGUUAUCUCUACAAAUGAAAUAAAUAUUGAAAGAGUAAAUAUUCGCCCGCGAAGUUUUUUUUUUUUUUUUGGAUUUUUCCUAUCACGAGAAGGGUCUUCCGACUAACGUACAAGGAUCCAAUGUCUAUUUUAGUGCAGUCUCUUUCAAAUAAAUAAAGGAAAAUGAAUUUUGUUAGUGUAUGCAUAAAGUUUGAUCAAACCCUGCACUUGCAUUCCAUCUCCAGAAAUUAAUUUAUACCUGUUGGACCAGUGUAGUAAGCAA
Molecule: unclassified non-coding RNA, 970 nt
Filed under: Hevea brasiliensis (rubber tree)
Lineage: Eukaryota; Viridiplantae; Streptophyta; Magnoliopsida; Malpighiales; Euphorbiaceae
Source: RNAcentral